This 2036-nucleotide unclassified non-coding RNA is filed under the name Amphibalanus amphitrite. RNAcentral describes it as "keratin, type I cytoskeletal 9-like, transcript variant X3". Lineage: Eukaryota; Metazoa; Arthropoda; Thecostraca; Balanomorpha; Balanidae. The record is from RNAcentral.
UGGUGGUGGAAUAAAGCAGUCGGGCCCCAGCCAAGUCAGCAUGUGCACUGUGCGAAUUGUUUCGGAGAGAGGAUCGCCGUUCGAGAGCACCCCAUAUUCUCUCCUCCGUGUAGGGCGGAGGUCACGGUGGAGGUCACGGAGGUCACGGCGGAGGUCACAGCUACGGCAGAGGUCGCGGCAAGGGCGGCAAGUUCAACAUCGGCUCGCUAUUCUCCAAGAAAGGCCGUCUGUUCAGCGGAAUCAAGCACAAGUUCAGCGGCAUCACGCACAAGUUCAGCGGCCUCAAGCAGAAGCUGGGCGGCCUCGUAGGCGCCGUGAAGGCGCCGCUGGUGCUAAUCAAGGGAAAGCUGCUGCGCAAAGGAGGUCGCCUGCUUACUACCAAGGGACGGUUCCUCACCAGUUUGGCCAACAAGCUGACCAGCAAGUUCAACAAGGGCGGAGGCCACGGCGGGUACAGUGGAGGCCACAGCGGGUACAGUGGAGGCCACAGCGGCGGAUACGGCGGAGCCGGUGGCGGGCACAUCUCCGUCCAGCCUUCGACCACCUACGGGGCGCCCUCUAGGCCCAGCAGCGGGUACGGGGCGCCCUCUAGGCCUAGCAGCGGGUACGGGGCGCCCUCUAAGCCCAGCAACGACUACGGGGCGCCCUCUAGUGGAGGUCACGGCGGCGGAUCCGGACACUCGUCCGGAGGUCACGGCGGCGGAUCCGGACACUCGUCCGGAGGUCACGGCGGCGGGUCCGGACACUCCUCCGGAGGUCACGGCGGCGGGUCCGGACACUCGUCUGGAGGUCACGGCGGCGGGUCCGGACACUCGUCUGGAGGUCACGGCGGCGGGUCGUCCGGUCACGACGGCCGCUCGCUCUCGGGCGGCUCGGUCUCCAGCUACUCGUCGUACGCCUAGGACAGAACAUGGAACAUGAAGUUCACACCUGGCAACACAGCCGGCCUGCCCGUCUGGCAUCACCUGUCUGGAAGCCCUCACCUGGCAUCACUCGUCUGGCAGCUCUCUCAGUGUGCAGCACAGCCGGACGGCAACUCUCUGUCCGGAGAUUUAUCCCGUACGACUCCGUCCGGAGACUCCUUCCGUGCACCUCACUGGAGACGCAGCCCGGACAACUCUCUAUGUCCGGAGCUCGCUGUCCGGAGGACACUGUCCGGAGCUCUCUUUCUGGACAGUCUGUCUGAAGAGUCUGUCUGUGGGACAGUCUGCCGCAUGUGGCAGAUCGUGGCAGAGCAGCCACAGAGCCGUGCUGUUUUCGACCUCACCAUGCCUCUCGGGCCCCACCCGCCUACACACACAUCAAAUGCAGCGCCGGCGACAAACCGUCUUCCACCAUCACUUAUAUGUAGAAAUGCCUGUGUAGUGUGUAGUAAGUUUUAUGACUCAGAUAGGAAAAACCUCUAACAGUGUAUAUCUAUCAGCGCCAUUUUUACGUCAAUAUAUGCUCGGUGAUACCGUUUGGGGCUGAAGGUAGAUAGAAUCGCGGUGUGAUUGGUAUAUUAGGUAUAGCAAAUGGGCUAAAGUGCAGCAAUAAUCAAACUCUGCGUCGCUCGUUGCCUGCCACCGUAUGAGCGUGUGUCCGGGCCCGGAACCGGUGGCUGCUGGCCGCCCGGUGACGUCACACCGGUGGCUGCGGGUCGCCCAGUGACGUCACACCGGUGGCUGCGGGUCGCCCGGUGACGUCACACCGGUGGCUGCGGGUCGCCCGGUGACGUCACACCGGCUCACGGUGCGGCCGGUCGUAUUCGGACGCCGGCCAUUGACGCCGCCGGGCGGCUCGACCACCAAUCGGUGAACAGAGCGCGUUAGGCCGGCGCUAAGACGUCAGGCCGACGCGUUAGGCCGCGUUAGGCCGGCGGUAACACGCGUCUGGUACGGGAUAACAGCGGUGUAACACACGCCAUGUUAACUCACUGUGAACAGGGUCCACAAAUACUAGUAUAGAGGUAUAAAUACUGGUAUAGAGACAGCCUCAUCGCGGCAGCCCACGGUGUUUGCCCCUGAGAGCAGUCGCCAAAUAAAUGUCAUCCGACA